AGGUAAAACUCCAUGGAGGGCCGAACCGACCUCCGUUGAAAAGGCGGCGGAUGAGGUGUGGCUAGCGGAGAAAUUCCAAUCGAACUCGGAUAUAGCUGGUUCUCUCCGAAAUAGCUUUAGGGCUAGCGUUGCAACAGAUUACCGGAGGUAAAGCACUGAAUAGGCUAGGGGGCGAGAGCUUACUGAACCUUAUCAAACUAAGAAUGCCGGAUAAUUGAUUUGCAGCAGUCAGACAGUGUGAGAUAAGUUUCAUUGUCAAAAGGGAAACAGCCCAGACCCACAGCUAAGGUCCCAAAGUACAUUUGAGUGGAAAAGGAUGUGGGGUUGCAUAGACAACCGGGAUGUUGGCUUAGAAGCAGCCAUACAUUAAAAGAGUGCGUAAUAGCUCACCGGUCGAGUGACCCUGCGCCGAAAAUUCAACGGGGCUAAAAUGUACACCGAAGCUUGGGAUUGCAGUUACUGAACAAAGCAGAUUGAUGAAAAGGUUGAAUCUGGCCGAAGGCAAAAUUCAACUAAAAAGCUAAAAGUCAGUAAGCUUUGUUCAGUAACUGCAGUGGUAGGAGAGCGUCGAAUACGGGGUGAAGUCAGAGCGGAAGCGCUGGUGGACUGUAUUCGAGUGAGAAUGCCGGAAUGAGUAGCGAGAAUUAUGUGAGAAUCAUAAUGGCCGAAAGUCUAAGGUUUUGGAAGGAAGGUUCGUCCGCUUCCAGUAAGCCGGGAGCUAAGGUGAGGCCGAAAGGCGUAGCCGAUGCACAUACGGUUGAAAUUCCGUAGCCUCCGAAGUAUUUAAACAGAAGGACACUUGAGAAGUGAUGAUGCCGGGCGAUGGUUGACCCGGUCGUAAGGGACCGAAAUUUAGUAGGGAAGUCAUCAUGGAUUGAGGCGAGAAAAGUUCUGUGAAUAUACAAGGAGCCCGUACCGCAAACCGACACAGGUAGAUAGGAAGAAAAUUCUAAGGCCAACGGGAGAAGGGUUGUUAAGGAACUCGGCAAGUUGACCCCGUAACUUCGGAAUAAGGGGUGCUCUCGAGAGAGAGCCGCAGAGAAUAGGCCCAGGCGACUGUUUAGCAAAAACACAGCUCUAUGCUAAAUCGAAAGAUGAUGUAUAUGGGGUGACACCUGCCCGGUGCCGGAAGGUUAAGAGGAGGCGUGAGAGCGCUGAAUUGAAGCCCCGGUAAACGGCGGCCGUAACUAUAACGGUCCUAAGGUAGCGAAAUUCCUUGUCAGGUAAGUUCUGACCCGCACGAAUGGUG
RNAcentral lists this ribosomal RNA (1249 nucleotides) under human gut metagenome. RNAcentral describes it as "bacterial LSU rRNA". It matches the Rfam family "Bacterial large subunit ribosomal RNA", at positions 754 to 2001 of the family's 2925-position model. The record is from RNAcentral.